This 205-nucleotide ribosomal RNA is filed under the name Bacteroidota bacterium. RNAcentral describes it as "Bacteroidetes bacterium partial 23S ribosomal RNA". It matches the Rfam family "Bacterial large subunit ribosomal RNA", at positions 2706 to 2925 of the family's 2925-position model. Lineage: Bacteria; Pseudomonadati; Bacteroidota. The record is from RNAcentral.
CCUCUAGUGUACCUGUUGUGGCGCCAGCUGCAUUGCAGGGUAGCUACGUCUGGAAGGGAUAAGCGCUGAAAGCAUCUAAGCGCGAAGCCUGCCUCAAGAUGAGAUAUCCCUUAAGGGCCGUUAUAGACGAUAACGUUGAUAGGCUGUAGGUGUAAAGGCAGUAAUGUCAUAGCCGAGCAGUACUAAUUGCCCGUGAGCUUUUUUC